AGUGAACGCUGGCGGUAGGCCUAACACAUGCAAGUCGAACGGCAGCACAGUAAGAGCUUGCUCUUACGGGUGGCGAGUGGCGGACGGGUGAGGAAUACAUCGGAAUCUACUUUUUCGUGGGGGAUAACGUAGGGAAACUUACGCUAAUACCGCAUACGACCUACGGGUGAAAGCAGGGGAUCUUCGGACCUUGCGCGAUUGAAUGAGCCGAUGUCGGAUUAGCUACUUGGCGGGGUAAAGGCCCACCAAGGCGACGAUCCGUAGCUGGUCUGAGAGGAUGAUCAGCCACACUGGAACUGAGACACGGUCCAGACUCCUACGGGAGGCAGCAGUGGGGAAUAUUGGACAAUGGGCGCAAACCUGAUCCAGCCAUACCGCGUGGGUGAAGAAGGCCUUCGGGUUGUAAAGCCCUUUUGUUGGGAAAGAAAAGCAGCAGGUUAAUACCCCGCUGUUCUGACGGUACCCAAAGAAUAAGCACCGGCUAACUUCGUG
Molecule: ribosomal RNA, 492 nt
Filed under: uncultured bacterium
Lineage: Bacteria
Description: partial 16S ribosomal RNA
Rfam family: Bacterial small subunit ribosomal RNA
Source: RNAcentral